AUACGGAGGGUGCGAGCGUUAAUCGGAAUUACUGGGCGUAAAGCGUGCGUAGGCGGUUCGGUCAGUCAGCCGUGAAAGCCCCGGGCUCAACCUGGGAACGGCGGUUGAGACGGCCGGACUAGAGUGGGCUAGAGGAUCGUGGAAUUCCCGGUGUAGCGGUGAAAUGCGUAGAGAUCGGGAGGAACACCGAUGGCGAAGGUAGCGGUCUGGGGCCACACUGACGCUGAGGCACGAAAGCGUGGGGAGCAAACAGGAUUAGAUACCCUGGUAGUCCACGCGGUAAACGAUGAGCACUAGACGUCGGGUGGGUGACCGUCCGGUGUCGCAGCUAACGCGCUAAGUGCUCCGCCUGGGGAGUACGGCCGCAAGGUUGAA
RNAcentral lists this ribosomal RNA (375 nucleotides) under uncultured bacterium. Its description in RNAcentral is "bacterial SSU rRNA". It matches the Rfam family "Bacterial small subunit ribosomal RNA", at positions 523 to 898 of the family's 1533-position model. The record is from RNAcentral.